RNAcentral lists this ribosomal RNA (647 nucleotides) under uncultured archaeon. RNAcentral describes it as "bacterial SSU rRNA". It matches the Rfam family "Archaeal small subunit ribosomal RNA", at positions 212 to 859 of the family's 1478-position model. The record is from RNAcentral.
GGUCUGCGGCCGAUUAGGUAGUUGGUUAGGUAACGGCUUACCAAGCCAUUGAUCGGUACGGGUUGUGAGAGCAAGAGCCCGGAGAUGGAACCUGAGACAAGGUUCCAGGCCCUACGGGGUGCAGCAGGCGCGAAACCUCCGCAAUGUGAGAAAUCGCGACGGGGGGAUCCCAAGUGCCAUUCUUAACGGGAUGGCUUUUCAUUAGUGUAAAGAGCUUUCGGAAUAAGGGCUGGGCAAGACCGGUGCCAGCCGCCGCGGUAACACCGGCAGCUCUAGUGGUAGCAGUUUUUAUUGGGCCUAAAGCGUCCGUAGCCGGUUUAAUAAGUCUCUGGUGAAAUCCUGUAGCUUAACUGUGGGAAUUGCUGGAGAUACUAUUAGACUUGAGACCGGGAGAGGUUAGAGGUACUCCCAGGGUAGAGGUGAAAUUCUGUAAUCCUGGGAGGACCGCCUGUUGCGAAGGCGUCUAACUGGAACGGUUCUGACGGUGAGGGACGAAAGUUAGGGGCGCGAACCGGAUUAGAUACCCGGGUAGUCCUAACUGUAAACGAUGCGGACUUGGUGUUGGGGUGGCUUUGAGCUGCUCCAGUGCCGAAGGGAAGCUGUUAAGUCCGCCGCCUGGGAAGUACGGUCGCAAGACUGAAACUUAA